Molecule: ribosomal RNA, 490 nt
Filed under: uncultured bacterium
Lineage: Bacteria
Description: partial 16S ribosomal RNA
Rfam family: Bacterial small subunit ribosomal RNA
Source: RNAcentral
AUUGAACGCUGGCGGCAGGCCUAACACAUGCAAGUCGAACGGUAACAGGAAGAAGCUUGCUUCUUUGCUGACGAGUGGCGGACGGGUGAGUAAUGUCUGGGAAACUGCCUGAUGGAGGGGGAUAACUACUGGAAACGGUAGCUAAUACCGCAUAAUGUCGCAAGACCAAAGAGGGGGACCUUCGGGCCUCUUGCCAUCGGAUGUGCCCAGAUGGGAUUAGCUAGUAGGUGGGGUAACGGCUCACCUAGGCGACGACCCCUAGCUGGUCUGAGAGGAUGACCAGCCACACUGGAACUGAGACACGGUCCAGACUCCUACGGGAGGCAGCAGUGGGGAAUAUUGGACAAUGGGCGCAAGCCUGAUGCAGCUAUGCCGCGUGUAUGAAGAAGGCCUUCGGGUUGUAAAGUACUUUCGGCGGGGAGGAAGGGAGUAAAGUUAAUACCUUUGCUCAUUGACGUUACCCGCAGAAGAAGCACCGGCUAACUCCGUG